Perognathus longimembris pacificus (Pacific pocket mouse) is the source of this 174-nucleotide long non-coding RNA. RefSeq lists it as uncharacterized. NCBI's taxonomy places the organism in Eukaryota, Metazoa, Chordata, Mammalia, Rodentia, Heteromyidae. The record is from RefSeq and is a predicted model, not a curated record. The transcript has 3 exons.
ACAACUAUGGUCAGUGGUCCAUCAUUUACAAUUCUGCAGAUGAAAGUUUGGGCUUUAGAUGAUCUUCCUUAGAUAAACCAGAAAACCCACAAUUUACAAUAAAUGAAAAUGGUAUUAAGAAGAAAUAGCAUACCUAAGAAACAGUCCUCAGUAUAUUUAAUUAUAUAAACUCCA